RNAcentral lists this ribosomal RNA (253 nucleotides) under uncultured bacterium. Its description in RNAcentral is "partial 16S ribosomal RNA". It matches the Rfam family "Bacterial small subunit ribosomal RNA", at positions 524 to 776 of the family's 1533-position model. The record is from RNAcentral.
UACGGAGGGUGCAAGCGUUACCCGGAAUCACUGGGCGUAAAGCGCGCGUAGGCGGAACUUCAAGUCCGGUCUGAAAGCCCCCGGCUCAACCGGGGAGGGUGGCUGGAAACUGGGGUUCUUGAGGGCGAGAGAGGAGGGUGGAAUUCCUGGUGUAGCGGUGAAAUGCGUAGAGAUCAGGAGGAACACCCGGGGCGAAGGCGGCCCUCUGGCUCGACCCUGACGCUGAGGCGCGAAAGCGUGGGGAGCGAACGGG